ACGAGGGGUUUUGGAGAAGAUUAAAAUAAAAGUUGCAACACUGAUUUGUGGCGCUUGAUGGGUUAAAAUUAAAAUGACGGUUGUUUACGGUGGUCUUCAAGGUGCAUAUGGUGUAGAUUACUGGGGCAACGGAAGAUAACCUGUCAGUUGUUAGCUGGUAACAAACCCCAUCACCCUUUGCCAAGAGUCCAUAUGGAUAGGAUAGUAGGCGUUAAUUGCUCUCCAGGGGACAACGGAUUGCUCAAACUUCAUUAACUGUCUACUUCUUCCAGCAAUGAAAGGGUGUAGACAGGAGUGGGUCAAAACACGAGAAACCCUGUGUUUAUUCAUCAAUAUCCGAACGAUAUUAUUCACAGAAUAAUUGGACUACGUUACCCAUCAUUCUCGGAUUGUCGUAAUAAUUACAAAUAUUUAUUUUAAUUGUUGCAUAAAAAUAUGAGAUUACCCUAAAAGGAUUAUUUGGAUCACUUCCUUUUCUGACAAGGACCGAGGAUCGUGGUGUUUCUAUAUGUCACCUAGUCUGCUAAACCCUUGUUCUGAUUUAACCCCUUAAUGACAAUGGGUGGUCCCCAAACCCAUUGAAAACAAUGCAUUUUUGCUUUGUCAUUAAGGGGUUAAAGCCCUGUCGCGGUGCUUGAACGCCGCUGGUAAAAGUUUUAGAGAUACCGUUACAGAUUAUGUUACAUCUAAAAAAAAUAAA
Molecule: long non-coding RNA, 700 nt
Organism: Spea bombifrons (plains spadefoot toad)
Lineage: Eukaryota; Metazoa; Chordata; Amphibia; Anura; Pelobatidae
Exons: 2
Source: RefSeq, a predicted model, not a curated record